This 313-nucleotide ribosomal RNA is filed under the name uncultured bacterium. Its description in RNAcentral is "bacterial SSU rRNA". It matches the Rfam family "Bacterial small subunit ribosomal RNA", at positions 28 to 334 of the family's 1533-position model. The record is from RNAcentral.
GAUGAACGCUAGCGGCAGGCUUAACACAUGCAAGUCGAGGGGUAACAGGGAUUAGUUUACUAGUCUGCUGACGACCGGCACACGGGUGAGUAACGCGUAUACAAUUUACCUUUUACAGGAGGAUAGCCCAGAGAAAUUUGGAUUAAUACUCCAUGGUAUUAUCGGAUCGCAUGGUUUGAUAAUUAAAGUUUCGGUGGUAGAAGAUGAGUAUGCGUCCUAUUAGCUGGUUGGUAAGGUAACGGCUUACCAAGGCGACGAUAGGUAGGGGUCCUGAGAGGGAGAUCCCCCACACUGGUACUGAGACACGGACCAG